This 40624-nucleotide long non-coding RNA is filed under the name Lactuca sativa (garden lettuce). Its description in RNAcentral is "long non-coding RNA (LSAT_LNC004308)". The record is from RNAcentral. Lineage: Eukaryota; Viridiplantae; Streptophyta; Magnoliopsida; Asterales; Asteraceae.
AUUCUAAACCCUAACCAGGGUGAGUGAUGUAACGACACUAUAAAGCACUAUUAUGUACCCUUCGGGGGCAUAAAACACUCAUAACAAGGCAUAAUGGGAUUUACAAACCUUGCCUUACAGGGCCAAACACUAACAAAGGCUACAAGCAAAGUCUCUCUAAAUCUCUCCCAUUCUACCUAUAUCUCUCCCAAAUCUCUCCCAAAAUCUCUCCCAAUCUCUCUAGAACCUCUUGGUGGUGAAAAUAACAUUUUACAAUGUUUAUAUGAACAUCCAUACCAUCUCGAACCUUCCCUCAGUCGAAAACAGCUUAAAACGGAAAAGGAAGUCAAAAAUAGGCCUGAAGGCCCACAGGUUACUGUUCACCUGCAAACCCUCGCAACAACCUAAAGCCAUGUUCGCUUCCUAUUCAAUGUUCGUCUCUAUCUGAGAAGUUUCGCAUCCGACCCUCUCACAACGAAACCGGGCAGUUUCGCAUGCACUUGGAUCCUUUCGCUUCUAGUCGGCAUCAUUUUCAUCUACUCGACCCGGUUCGCAUCGAGCCUCACCCUCGCAGACGAACCCUCUCGGACCGAAGCCCCUAUCGCUACGAACCUUCUCAGAUGCGAACUCCUCCAUUCCAUGAACCUCCUCGGCUUCGAGCCUUCCGUUCGCAGGUUCGUAUCCCCUUCCCGAUUUUCGAGCACUUUCACAUUUUAAGCCUGUUUUUGAUGAUUUUAACGUAGGAAUUUCCCCAAAUUCACAUUUUCAUCAUUUUAAACCCUCCAAACUCAUAUUUUAUCCACAUAUUGAAGAUUUAGUACCUUUAAAUCAUAUAUUUUGUUCAAGGCAACACUUAAAGACUUGUUGACUUUUCCAUAAAGUUAUGACACCAAGCCAUCCCCACAUCAACUUUAUGUCACUAUUCACAUUCUACCUAGUCAAAUCAAUAUAUUUCUUUAACACUCCAUCAGAUUUUUCCUUGACCAAAUCCACUCAAUAGAUCUUUAUUCUUCACCUAUAAAACCUCAUUUGCUUCCUCCAAAAACAAACUUUCUCUCUCUCUCUCUCUCUCUCUCUCUCAAACUCAAAAUUCCGCAGGAAGUCUUGAGCUUUUCCUCCAUUCUUGGUAAGUUUCUCAUUCUACUCCAAAAUAUUCUACACUUCUUCAUACAACCCAUGGAUCAUUUACACAAAUAUUGACAUAUUUUUUCUUAGGAUCUUCAAAUCUUCAAGCAUCCUUCAAGUGUUUUUGACUUGAAACCCCCUUUCUUCAACCUUCCACCUAAGGGAAUCACUUAAGGUGAGUUCAUACCCCCUACAUUUUCAUGUUUUAUUCAUGUUUUAGGGGGUAUUGGGGGGGGGGGAUAUAAGUUACAACACCUAAAAUAUAUUCUAAACUUAACCAACAGCUUUCAACAGAAAAGUUAUGGUCUAUUCACGAACUGUUUUGACCAUCUUAAACUUAAUAUUUUUCAAAACUGUUUAAUAAAAAUUUAGUUCAGGUUUAUACCUUUCCAAUGUCUGCUUGCACAAGUUCAUACGAUUGUUCUACAAUUUAUGACAAUUUUUACAAAACUGACUAUCAUUUCAGAAAUAAUUUCGGACCAGCCUGUGAAGAUGGACAUCUUCACACUGGUUAGAGACCACUAAAAAUCAUAAUAAAAAUUGUGAAAAAACUAGACACGUUUUCUGAACUCCCAGAAUUUACAGAUUCAAUUUUUGACUUACAUAUAUUUUUAUAUGAUUUUUCUAAAAACAGUGACAGAAAAGUCAAAACUAGUAAAAUAGUUUAUAAAUUCAUUAACACUUUGUAACAUGUUGAGAAAAGUGAAUAACGAUAAAUAGCUAUAUACUGAUUUUAUUUCAUGUUAGUUUACUUCCAUGAAAUAGAAAUAUACAUUCACAUAAGGGUCCUUCAUCAUUACAAACACAUAGGAUAAAUUAUAAUAGGCUUAUGGUACAUUAACACUACGAACAUACUAAGUAAAGUUUCCUUUACACUACAAAAAAGGGUUUUUUCACUCAUACUACACGUAAACUCGUUGAAUCAAAUUUGUGAGGCUCUACUUCAUUAUACUCUUAGAGUACUGGUCAAAGUCCUAUAUAUCAUGUUCGUAUACAUAAAGACUAGAAGUCUACCCUUUCAUUCUGAGCGAUUAAUACGAGUAUAGUCAUGAGACAUACCUUUGAUUUAGUCAACUUUGAUAUAUUCAAUUACGCCUUUUAUCAUAUACAUCUUGUUUUUAUUUUGAAAUCUACUAUAAACAAGUGAUCCUUAUUUACAUUUUCUCUUUCGUUCUAAAUUCGGAAACUUGAUUUAAAAUGCAAGUUUCAUUGUAUUUUUCCUUAUAAUUAAUACACAAGAUGAAUACAUUUUUGCUUAUAAUUUUUCUAUAUCCAGAAAAUAUAUGUGAAGGAUAUGUUUCCUUAUGUUUCUUAUUUUCUUUAAAUACAUCAAAAGUUUUGAAUUUUACGAUUAUCUAUUCUCAAAAUGAUUGUUUUUGUAGAAACACUAAACUACGAAUGCACUAUUUUCAAAGAUUGACAUUUUUACACAUUUCUUAAAAUAGUAUUUUAAUUUGCAAUUGUCAGUGAGUUCCUAAACUCUCAAACUUGUUUCCAUAAAUAUUCUGACUCCUCAUAAACCUGUAUUUGUCUUGUUAAAAAAAAUUAUGCAAUUUUUCAAAAGAGUAAUCUAAAUAUUUUUUGUAUAAACUCCCUUAUUGAAGACAUAAACCUUUAACCUUGAUUAAUCUCCUUAUUAUUUUACUACUUCGUUUGAUCGUCACACAUGUAUCUUCAUUAUCUUGGAAUUAUUACACAUUUUGAUAACAGUGAGAUUUUUAUCACUUCUAAACACUUAAAAUGUUAUCUACACAAUGUAAUUUAAAAUAUCAUAAACUUUCACUGCCUUCAUUAGAAACAAUGACUCUCUAAUUAUAUAUAAUCUUCGAAUAUAGUUCUAUUAUUGUAAGAGUAACCGUAGUAAUAAUUAUAGCCUCGUAGAUCCUCAAUCAUUGUGUAAUUUAAUUUGUAGACGACACUUAAAUAGUCUUUACAUUUGAGAUAUACCAAAAUUUCAUUGCCUACCCUUAGUACGUAUUUUUAGGAACUUACCCUCGACCGCUUCCCUUUCAUUCGUGCUACCCCUUCUUAUUUCGAAAUAUAUCUUUUCCAGAUUUAGUAGCCAACCCAGAAGAGAACAAAUUGUUCCUAAUCUCUUCUUUAUCAUGCGACAAAUUUACACUUAGUGCCGAUUUAGAACGCGACUUAAGCAUCAAUGCGGACUUAACGCUGAAUGCAGUUGGUGCUUCGGCAAAAAUUAUAGCUCUCUUGGAUUCAAAUAAUAUCUAAUUAAAUAAUCUUUUCAACUAGGUCACCAUGGUUGGAUCAUGAUUUCCAUGAACCAAAUUUCCCACAAUAUAGACGAUAGAACUCGAAUUAGGGACGCACUAAUUUGAUUAUAACUGUCACACCCCAAAAACAGAACGGCGGAAACGUUCUGGGGCGGAGGACGUCAUGUAAUGUAUCACAACAAUGCAAAGUAGUAAACAAGCAACAACAUCGUCCAUUGCAUUAAUAGUAAUAGUUUAAUACAUGUGUGUUCUUUCAUAGUAAUAAGACAUUACAACAAGUAAUCAAAAUAAAAGACGAGUCUUGACUGCUCCGUCUUCGCAAAACCUGGUCAUCGUACCUGUCUACUGGUGACCUGAGAAUACAAGUUAUUUUGAAAGUGUAGGUUAGCAUUUAAGCUGGUGAGUUCAUAAGUAUUUAAUGUCAUCGUUUGUAUAAGUAUGAAGAAUACAUUUGGAAUUAAUUGUUUGUAUAAGUAUGAAGAAAACAUUUGGAAUUAUUCAAUGUAAUUGUUUGUAUAAGUAUGAAGAAAACAUUUGGAAUUAUUCAAUGUAAUUGUUUGUAUAAGUAUGAAGAAAACAUUUGGAAUUAUUCAAUGUAAUGGUUUGUAUAAGUAUGAAGAAAACAUUUGGAAUUAUUCAAUGUAAUUGUUUGUAUAAGUAUGAAGAAAACAUUUGGAAUUAUUCAAUGUAAUUGUUUGUAUAAAACUGAAUAAAAUGGUUUGUACAUGUUUGAAAGUUUCUAUAUAAAAUCCAUAUUUUCUACUAGUAUAAAAGUAGUCUUCUACCAAGACUCGACUGUUUUUAAUGUUUACCUUUAGAAAUCCAAUAUUUGUUCAUAAGUGUGUGGUAGUUUAAAAGUUCCAAAACUGAAAUGAAAUCGUGUUUUUCAUGCCUAGAGUAGUAGAUUUGUAUAAAUAUAAAAUCACUAAGGCAUUUGAUAACCCCGUAAACCAACGUGUUUCUAAUACUCAAUGUGAGUUUUAUAACCAUACUAAUGACCCAGACUGCCUGUAACAACGUUCUUCAGGCGUUGGAAUGUUAUAACGUUUGUCACCCCAGGCCUGUCGGCCUAGCUGUAGCUAACAGCUUAGGUGCAGGAUUGUCAAUCCCGUAUAGAUCUAUACACAAGUAUCAUGCUCCCCCUACAAGGGAUUAUGGUAUAUAAUACAGGACUUAAAAUGCAUACUCGAAAGUACGUGAAAUAUCUCACAAAACUUAGUAUAAAACAUAUUUACAUAUGAAAAUGUCCAUUUGUUCUUGUAUAUGAAAGUAUUUCCUUGAUAUAGUAUUCAUUAGUAUGUAAAUGUUCUUGAUUUUCUCGUAAACUAUACCCAUUAUAGUUUUUCAUAAUGUGUGUGUUUCGUUCAUAUAGUAAACCCUAGUGUAAUGCUCACUUGUUAUGUAAAGUAUAACAUUUAAAGUGACAUAAAUGAUCACAUAUACUUAAAGUAUAAAUAAAGUGUUUGAUUCAUAUAUACAUAUAUAAACAUGUUUUAUUUCCAAAAAGGCAAGAUGUUAUCGAGAAUAUAUAUANAUUCGACACAUCUUGAUCCAUUCUUGUGUUAUUUACUGUUUUUAUAUUCAUCGCAUUACCUGUUACGAAUAUCUAAUCGAUCAUCAAGUUUAAUUUUAGCUUAUCAAACUGUGUGUUUACUUGUAUUUCCCCCCCUUAAAAGUGUAUAAAAAGCAUUGAUAAAACAUUUGAAAGUGUAGUUUAUAGGGGUAUGAACUCACUUGAUAGAUCGAAGAAAGCGAGAUGAUAAUCGAGCAGAACCUCGACUUGGAAAAGUAGAUUUUCUCGGGAAUCUCGGGAACACAAAACCUUCCUUCGGAACUUGAAGGUGAAAACCGGGGCUUCGGGAGGGUCUCGGCGGCUUAAACGCAGAGUUUCGGUGCGAGAAAGAAGGGAACUGAGCAAUGAAACCCGGAGCCCUUCAAAUCUAUUUAUAGGGCCAUUUUUUGAGUGCCACGUCGUGGCAGAGGGUGUGACACGUCGUGGUGAGUCAGCCUUAUCCUCUUCUAUUGAUUGGACGCUCUCAGUCACUGACCGAGUCGCGGCGAACUGUGCCACGUCAUGGCUGACCUGACAGCCUCGGAUUUUGGGCCUCGAACUUGUAAAAUCCGUAACUUUUGCAUACGAGCUCCAUUUUUGACGUUCUUUAUAUGAACGCGUAGGUGAGAAUAUAAUCUACAACUCUCAUUUAGACUUCAUCGGCUAAUUUUGGCUUUAUUUUUAAUUAUUUAUUUUUAACGGGCCGGGACACGAAAAAUCCGUUAAAAAUCCAUAACUUCUUCAUCCGAUGUCCGUUUUCGUCAGACUUUUUACCGUUGCACUAAUAUUUUUGAGACCUUCAAUUCUCAUUUAGGUUGUUUCGGCCAAAAGUCUCUCGAUCUCUAUUUCGAGUUUUUAGCUGUUUACUGCUAUAUCCAGAUCUUGGAAAAAUCAUAACUUCCUCAUAUGAAGUCAGAUUUGGACGUUCUUUUUACGUAUGUUUACGGUUUAAUGUUAUCUACAACUUUCAUUUAGAUACUUAAGGCCAAAAACUAUUGUGUUGAAACUUCGUGUUUUUCGUUUAAUCGGUGUUGCCGAGAAUCUUAGAAUGGUCAUAACUUCUUCGUUAUAACUCGGAUUUUAGUGUUCUUAGUAUUUCUAUAAACCUUGACACAAUAUCCAACAUAAUAGAUAUUCCUAUAAAGACUUUUUCACAUUUAUUUUUCGAAGUUAAUUUCAUUAUAUCAAAAGUGGUUACAAUACUAGACUUUUUAGGUCAUUACAUAGAGUCGAAAUAUCGGGUUGUCACAUCAUCCCCCCGUUAGAGGGAAUUUCGUCCCGAAAUUUAAUGUAAGGUAAUGAUUUGUGGACUAGGGAAACAAAUGAGGGUAUUUUUGUUUUAUCUGAUCUUCGCAUUCCCAUGUGUAUUCAGGUCCUCACUUUGCAUUCCAGCGGACCUUCACGAUGGGUAUGCGACUUUGUUUUGUUCUUUUAAUUUCCCUAUCUAUGACUUCAAUUGGAUCCUCUAUAAAGUGGAGACUCUUGUUGAUUUCGAUUUCAUCUAGAGGGACGACGAGGGUCUCAUCGGACAAACUUUUCCUCAAGUUUGACACAUGAAAGGUAGGGUGUACGUUAUUGAGUUCCUGCGGUAGACGAAGUUUGUAGGCUACCGAGCCGAUCCUUGCAAGGAUCUCGAAUGGUCCAAUUUAUCUUGGGUUUAGUUUCCCAUGUUUUCCGGAACGUAUUAACCCUUUCCAGGGCAAGACCUUUAAUAGCACUCAGUCCCCGACCUGAAAUUCCAAGGGCUUCCGUCUUUUGUCCGCAUAACUCUUCUUGGUCGAAUGUAUGUUGAAUGUUUUUGUGGUCUGUGAACAUAGUACGCCUUGUACCCUACAAGUAGUGUCUCCAGAUCUUCAGAGCAAUUACCGCUGCUCAUGACUCAAGAUCACGUGUUGAAUAGUUAACUUCCUGUGUCUUAAGCUGUCUUGAGGUAUAGGCAGUGACCUUUCCUCUUGCUUAAGAACAAAACCAAGUCCUUAGUUGGAUGCAUCGCAUUACACCAUGAAAUAUUCUAUCCCUUUUGGGAGGGAUAAUAUUGGUGCGAUGCAUCAGGCUUACUUUAGCGUUUGGAACGCUCUUUCUCGUUUACAGACAAGUCCGGUGCUCCCCAAGGUGAGAAACUUGGCCUAAAGAAUCCCCUUCUGAGGAGUUUGUUAAGCUCACUAGGAAGUUCUUGCAUCUCAGUUGGAGCUAGACGAUAAGGUGAUUUGGCUACUGGGGUAGCCCCUGGAACUAAGUCAAUUCUGAAUUCGACUUGACGUUGUGAUGGUAGUCUCGGUAGUCCUUCUGGAAAGGUGUUGGGAAAGGCGCGUACUUCUUGGAGGUUCUGAAUUUCCUUCACUUCUCGGCACGUCUCGACGAUGUGUGCAAGGAAUACAUGAUAUCCCUUUCGUAAGCACUUCUAAUUUUGCAUACACGAAAUGAUGAGAAGGUUCGUACUUGGUUCGUUGCUAUAAAUAACUAGAGCUUCGUUGUUUAGGGAGGUUACGACGAACUUCUUUAUCAAAGCACCUGAUGUCGGCUCGAUGUAGACUUAACCAACUCCUACUGAUUAUGAUGUCAAAACCUUGGGGUGGAUUAGAUGUCGUGAAGAUCUAAAAGAAAGUAUUACUACUCACGAACUAGGGAAAAGGAUAGGUAUUUCUGUAACAUCCCGAAAUAUCAAGAGUAGAGUUGAAGGGCUAAAAGGGUAAGUUGUGAAAGAGUGACUCGGCGAGUCCAGGGAUGGACUCGGCGAGUAGAGUCGCGACUGGGUCGCGUGUUAAGUAGCCGACUCGACGAGUCAGUAAGGGGGACUCGGCGAGUAGGCGCUGAGUGGAGAAAACCCUAAUUCCCGGGGUUGAGCCCUAUAUAAGGAACAUAUCAGCCCACUCUCAGCCUCUUUAUUCAUCCCCAAAUCCAGAAACCCUUAGCCUUCGUGUGUGAGUGAUCAUAUCUCAUUUGGGAGCUUGAAGGAGAUGAUUAUUGAAGGGAUUUUGGGAGAUUGAAGGCUUGGAGCAAGGGGCUUUGCCUGGAUUCGAAUUACAUUGCAGUUGGGGCGUCCCUUGGAGGUAAUAUCUCGUUCUUGGACUGUUGAUAUGUUGUUUCUUCAUUUUGGGGUUUGUGGGAACUUGUCUAUGGAUGUAAUUGGAAGUCUAGAGGUUAGAUCUGAGGUUGCUACCUCAGAUCUGGAAGGGAGAAGAAUCAGAGAGCAUGAAAGUCCCUGUGUUGGAGUGUUUAGUGAAGCUUACAUGUCCCAAACCCUAAACCAAUGUGCAAAUAGCCUAGAUCUCUUUGGAUUCACGUAAAGUUUGCCACUUUACGUGAUGGAUGAGUGGUAGGAGACUAGAUCUAUGUUUUGGAGCAAUUGCAUGGCCUGGAAUGCUUCUGAAUGGAUUCAGCCCGGUGGUACUCGGCGAGUCACAUGGGUGUACUCGACGAGUUGCUUGAAGAUGAGCUGGGACUCGGCGAGUUGGAAGAACAACUCGGCGAGUUGGAUGAAGAUGGCCUGGAACUCGGCGAGUUGUAUGAACAACUCGGCGAGUAGGUUGAUGAUAGCCUUAGACUCGGCGAGUCUGUUCUUGGACUCGGCGAGUCUUGUCGAAGAGUCCCGAUAUUCUCUGGUUGAGUCGAGAAUCGGUGAGUCAAGGGAUGACUCGGUGAGUUGUGUGCGAGUGGACUCAGAGUUGUUGGACUCGGCGAGUCUCGGGGUGACUCGGCGAGUUAGGUCGCGGAUUGAGUGAAGUUCUGAUUAUGGGAACUCGGCGAGUCAUAGGGUUGACUCGGCGAGUAGGGUCAGUCAGGGGUUGACUUUGACUGAGGACUUUGAUUUUGACCAAGGGUUGACCGUUGACUUUUAGGGUUUGGUCAGCGAUGUGGCCUUUGGGCCAAGAGAGGGGUAAAAUAGUCUUUUACCCUUAAGAGGGUGCCAUGAGAGGGUUGAUUCUAGUCUCGAGAGUUAUAGUCAUGAGAGUAUUUGCCUUACGUGUUAGGCGGUGGCGAGUUCGAGAUUCAAGUGUGGAGAUAUCUGCUUUCUGCUUGCCAGGUGAGUCUCCUCACUAUACUUUACCUUGAGUAGGUAACCAGAGUUAUGUGACAGAGUAUUUGUAUGCUAUGUAUGUUAUGUGUUGUACUGCAUUAUUUCUAUGUGAUUUAUGUUGUGCAUGUUUACAGAGUUGGAACCGGAGGGUUCCUGGAGUUAGAACCGGAAGGUUCACAGAGUUAGAACCUGAGGGUUCACAGAGUUUGGGUGCACGGACCCAUAGAGUUAUAGCCUCGAGUGGCUAGUAUGUGUUAUGUGUGUGGUACUUUGGGGAACUCACUAAGCUUCGUGCUUACAGUGUUUUGUGUGAUGUUUUUCAGGUUCUUUCAGUAUCACGGGACGGCACCGGCUUGAUUGUACACACCAGAGAAAGAGUCAUGUUUUGGAGGAUCCUGGUUUUCUAUGCAAGUGAAAAUGGAGUUAUGUUUUGUAAUUCGAUUAUGAAUGAGAUUUUUAAACACGUGUUUCUAAGAAUAAAAUGAUUAUUCUAAAUGAAAAAUUGUUUUGAAAUUUUCGGUGUUACAAUUUCUAAGUUUAUUCUCACGGAAGCACGAUCACUCUCAGUCUUGGGCUGUCUCCGUCCUGAAGUUCAUAGUAGAACCCAUACCAGGUUCAUCAAUCACAGUCUCGGGUAUACGAGUCGUAUAUAAUUAAAAUUGAAAUUGUGGGUCUUUGGAUUGAACUUGACGUACUACACGAGUGGUACUUCGGGGAAGUUUGCUGAGGUUGCUUUGGAAAGGGUAAGAAACAUGAGGUACUCUACGCAUGAGUACUUCGGAGUUCUGAAGUGAUAGUUUCAUUAGAAAGAUGGUUUCGGAGAAAGAGAUUUACGCACAAAACUGGUAUUGUGAGGAUUAAAUAGACUCUGAUCGUAUGAUGAAAUCGGAAUCACGUGGAAAUAAGGCACUAGAUUUGAUCAUAACGGUGUUACAGACAAAACACAAUAAUGCAACUUUUAACAGAGUUAUCGUAAUAUAGGUUUACUACAAGACUAAUGCUGUGAACUAGGUAUACUACGAAAGACAAGUAUACGCAACACGAGGGUCCCUUAACUGAUGGGUCCUUACAAAAGAUAAGAUUCGAGUUGCACUAGUUUUAAAUAGUUUAUGAGUCUAUUACAAUGAACACCUUAGAUACUUUAACGAGGGUCCGAAGUAGUUUCUCCUGCGGCAGUAAUCCUUAGUAUCUUCCCGUCUAUGCCGGAGUUCUUUGUUAUUGGACAGUCCUUUUUGAGGUGUCAUAUAUUGCCGCAUUGGUGACAUACCUGGUUCGUACUAGUAUUGGUGGUGGGAGUGAGGUGUUUAGUCAAAGUUAAAUGGACACGGGUGCCUUCCUCAUUACUCCACUUUGAAAAUUUCCUCUUAAAGAGUCCGGCUUUAUCACUACUUUUGUGUGUAGGGUUGGUCCCGAUGCCAGGGACUGGAGGAAUGGGUCAUGUCGGUGCUGAAGGGGCAGGAGUUGCCACUUGCUUCUGUUGCAUGGCAAGUCUUUGGAAUCGCUUUCACUCAUUUCUGGCUUGGCGAUAUCGUCUCCUCCUUUCGGUGUUACGGCUUCGGAAGUCCGUGACUGUUGUCAUUUCUUGACUUCCCGGAUUGGUACUACAAUCGGAACUCUCGACUCCUUUGUCAGUCUUGUUUGUGUUACCGGAGUUGAUGUGUGUAAGGAAAGUUGUCACAGCAGCUGCUAUUGCAGCUCGUAACGUAGCGGAGUCGAUAUGGAGGAUAGGGGUUUUGUUGCUCGGCUGAUUGUUUCCGGACGACGACAUGAUUCUGUAACACGAAAGAUAAGGAUUUUGUGAGCGAUUUUGGUUGACCCUAAAUGUACUUCAAUCGCUUAAGUAAAGAGUAUGAGUAUGUUCUCGAAAGUUUGACCUACAUCCCUAUGAUGCGGUCCUAGUACGGAAUUGAAGUAUGUUCACGAAGGUCCGACCUACAUCCCUAUGAUGUAGUCCUUAGUAAGGAGUAGAAGUAAGCUCGUAGAAUGGUCUCAAGACAUUUGUUGUUCAAGCCGAGGUAUCGUUGGUUGGUGAAUAACAUGAUCCAACCACUAAAAAAGACUUGAAAAUGUCUCCGGAGUUAAAUUACUAUUGUCCAAUGUCUUGACUAAAGCAUGUUUCAGAUAGACUCCAAUGAAAGUAUGAUGAGAGUAUUUGAACAAAGAGUGACAUGGAAGUUAGCCGGCUGUCAAUAUCAUUGAUGUUUAAGAUGUAAUAAGUCUAGGAAAAUUUAUGACCUUAUAGAAGGCCUUACAUCAUAUCCUGAGUAACAAAGUUUUGGCCGCAUAAAGGCCUAACUAAAAGUACCUACAGUACAAGGCAGUUCCAUAGAAAAUGCCACAUAGGACAUAGACAGGAACACGGUUCUUUAAAACAAGAAGAAAAGUAAAGUAUCUCCUACUGGUGACGAUAAUCCCUCUGGUGAAUUCUCAGUUCAGCCAGUUGGCGUUCCAUAUCAAGUAGGUGUCUUUUGUACACCCUCUGGCGUACUCGGAGCUCUAUAAAUUUGGCUCGUGAUUCAGCCAGUGCAUGAAGCAUGGCUUCAUGGGCUCUCUCAGAUCUCUCACGAGCCUCUUCCAGACGAAUGGUGCGGAGGGUAUGCAUUCUCGCAUUGGUGAAAACUUCUAUGAUUUGAUGUAGGGCUGUCCUGCCUUGAAUCUCAUUUCGAGCCACUCUACGGACCAGGAUUGACAAGAUUCUGUCUGCUGAGCCCCCAUUGCUCAGGUCAUAAAAGCUUUGGUCACCAUUAAAUGGCAUGGGCUGAUCUUGUCCUUGGCUCCAUGUUUCCAGCAUUCUACCCAAGGAGGUGUCGGGCCAUGAAAAGUCGGACGAGGGUUAGGAUUUGGAAAGGGAGCUACAUGGGGUAGGUUCUCAACCUCGGGUUCAGAGUUGUCAUCAUCCGCGAGGUCUUAAUCGUGGUGAUCAUUCAAAGGAAUAGGAUGAUCAUUCUCUGGUCCUUCUCCAAACCAUCCAGCAAUGACUUCGUUCGGGAAGUAUGGUUGCCGUGGGGAUGGAGUUAACCAUGUUAUCUGUGCGAGAAUUGGGGUAAGGAAAUAAUUAUUAGAUGAACUAUCUAGAUAAUUAUUAGAAAAUCUUCAUUAGUUACAUCACUAUUUGUAAAGUGCAUACCAGUCAUAUGUAAUCAACACAGGACAAGCUUUCGAAUAAGUGACAUUAACUCCAAAUUCACUAGGAAUAGGGGUAAAGCAAAAAUUUCACCGAUUCUAAGUCUAUAACAUCCUAGUUACAUAUAGACUUAGUGUAUCCACUUAGUAACUAUCAACUUAGUAAUGAAGAUCCUUUUUAGUUCUCAUGUAAGUAAUUAUGGUAACACAAAACACCCCUAUGGUAUUUUAGACUUAGGUUCUGUUAUAAUGUUCUUAUUGUGGUAAUGUUGGUAAGUUUUUAGACUUUUUGCCAUAUCACAACCAUUCUUGGGCAAAUGCUAAUCACUCCUCGGACCAGUAUAGUUGAUCAGGCUAUGCCAUUCCCAAGACUGACCAUACAUCCCCAAGCUUACUUGUGAUAUUCAACAAUCAUCAUACUUUUGUUCUUGUCAUUGUGACACUGAUUUUAGUAUGAAUGCAGGCACGUAUACUUAAUUAAAUAUUUUAUUAUUUAAAAGUAUAAACUCUUGGUCAGAGUAUUUUAAUCCCAUUGUAUUUAUAGUUAGUAUAUCUUUUAUGGGUUGAGAUACUCAAUUCACUAUAAACAAUGCUCUGAUACCAAUCUGUCACACCCCAAAACCGGAACGGCGGAAACGUUCUGGGGCGGAGGACGUUAUGUAAUGUAUCACAACAAUGCAAAGUAGUAAACAAGCAACAACAUAGUCCAUUGCAUUAAUAGUAGUAGUUUAAUACAUGUGUGUUCUUUCAUAGUAAUAAUACAUUACAACAAGUAAUCAAAAUAAAAGACGAGUCUUGACUGCUCCGUCUUCGCAAAACCUGGUCAUUGUACCUGUCUACUGGUGACCUGAGAAUACAAGUUAUUUUGAAAGUGUAGGUCAACAUUUAAGCUGGUGAGUUCAUAAGUAUUUAAUGUCAUCGUUUGUAUAAGUAUGAAGAAUACAUUUGGAAUUAUUCAAUGUAAUUGUUUGUAUAAGUAUGAAGAAAACAUUUGGAAGUAUUCAAUGUAAUUGUUUGUAUAAGUAUGAAGAAAACAUUUGGAAUUAUUCAAUGUAAUUGUUUGUAUAAGUAUGAAGAAAAAAUUUUGAAUUAUUCAAUGUAAUGGUUUGUAUAAGUAUGAAGAAAACAUUUGGAAUUAUUCAAUGUAAUGGUUUGUAUAAGUAUGAAGAAAACAUUUAGAAUUAUUCAAUGUAAUUGUUUGUAUAAAACUGAAUAAAAUGGUUUGUACAUGUUUGAAAGUUUCUAUAAAAUCCCAUAUUUUCUACUAGUAUAAAAGUAGUCUUCUACCAAGUCUCGACUGUUUUUAAUGUUUACCUUUAAAAAUCCAAUAUCUGUUCAUAAGUGUGUGGUAGUUUAGAAGUUCCAAAACUGAAAUGAAAUCGUGUUUUUCAUGCCUAGAGUAGUAGAUUUGUAUAAAUAUAAAAUCACUAAGGCAUUUGAUAACCCUAUAAACCAACGUGUUUCUAAUACUCCAUGUGAGUUUUAUAACCAUACUAAUGACCCAGACUCCCUAUAACAACAUUCUUCAGGCGUUGGAAUGUUAUGACGUUUGUCAUCCCAGGCCUGUUGGCCUAGCUGUAGCUAACAACUUAGGUGCGGGAUUGUCAAUCCCGUAUAGAUCUAUACACAAGUAUCACGCUCCCCCUACAAGGGAUUAUGGUAUAUAAUACAGGACUUAAAAUGCAUACUCGAAAGUACGUGAAAUGUCUCACAAAACUUAGUAUAAAACAGAUUUAUGUAUGAAAAUGUCCAUUUGUUCUUGUAUAUGAAAGUAUUUCCUUGAUAUAGUAUUCGUUAGUAAGUAAAUGUUCAUGAUUUUCUCGUAAACUAUACCCAUUAUAGCUUUUCAAAAUGUGUGUGUUUCGUUCAUAUAGUAAACCCUAGUGUAGUGCUCACUUGUUAUGUAAAGUAUAACAUUUAAAGUGACAUAAAUGAUCACAUAUACUUAAAGUAUAAAUAAAGUGUUUGAUUUGUAUAUACAUAUAUAAACAUGUUUUAUUUCCAAAAAGGCAAGAUGUUAUCGAGAAUAUAUAUAGCAUACGAAAGUUCCUAUGUAGUAGUUAUGAAUCACAUAUGAUUCACUUGAUAGAAAAGAGUAUAUAGUGAAACUUUAUGUUACACACGAUAAUAACCGUGUUGGGUCGUAUUUUGUAUUUUGUGUUGCGUAUAUUGGGCUCGUUAGCUAGCCCAAUAUGUAUCUCCGGUAUGGGCCUGUCCAUCCGUGAGUUUUGUAGGGUUAAGUAUAAAUAGGUGAUUGCAUGCAUCUUAGAAGAGGAUCUGAGAUUUAUUAUUCAGCAAGUUUAUCGUUCUUGUAACCCUAGAAUCCUCUACAGCGGAAGUUCUUUGUCGAGCUCUGCUGAGGAUUGAUAAAUCUAAUCAUUUGACACAUCUUGAUCCAUUCUUGUGUUAUUUACUGUUUUUAUAUUCAUCACAUUACCUGUUACGAAGAUCUAAUCGAUCAUCAAGUUUAAUUUUAGCUUAUCAAUUGGUAUCAGAGCAGGAGGUUGUGUAAUUCAUACACAUCUUUUAUGUGAAAGAGGUUGCGAUUAGGGUUAUUCCGCAUUAACUAAUAUUUAUUGAGCCGUCAUCCCAUAAUUGACGUAACUCAUCAUUUAUUUGUUUUGACCUAUUUUUAUAUAUUACAAGUCUGAUCUUUCAAACAGGUUAUACGAUCAAGCAUGGACGAGUCACAAUCAAAUCCGAUCAACAUCUCAAACAACAUUGGAUCAACGACGAAGAUUCCCAUUCUUUACACCCAGGAUUAUGAAGUCUGGGCACAUCACUUCGAAGAUUAUGUCAUUAGAUCUGAAGACAAUGGAUAUCUUAUUUGGGAAGCAAUCGUAUCUGGACCAUUCGCUCAUUCAGCAACGUCAAAAAUCAUUAAAACUCAAAAAGAGUAUAAUGAUCUGUUAAAGGACGUAAAAGAUAUUGCUCAAGACGAAAAAGGAUAAGUUUCAGUGCAAUAUUAAAGCAUUGAGACUGAUUCGAUUCGCUCUUCAAUCCGAUACAUUCAGGCUAGUGAGUUCAUGCAGCACUGCUAAAGAAAUAUGGGAUAGGCUGUGAGAGCUAUAUUCCACAGAAGAAGAUCUGGAGCAUUCCAUUCAGACCUUACUUUUGUCCAAAUUUGGUGAAUUUAAGCAGAAUCCCGAGGAAACCGUUACUCAGACGUUUGAUCGCUUCAAUCAUCUUUUUAGUAAGAUGAUCAAACACGAUAUAGAAAGGAAGUUGAUUGAACAAAAAGUUAUGUUUUUGAAUGGUCUUAGAUCUGAGUGGAGAGAAGUUGUGUCCACUGUUAAAGCUCAUGAGCAAUUCAAAUCUUAUUCAUUGGCAAAGCUGGUAGGGAUUUUGAAAUCCCAAGAAAAGAUUGUCUUGCAGGAGAAAAAUGUGGUUUCAAGCUUGGGAUCAUUGGCCCUUCUGUCUAAAAGAAAAAGUGUGGUGGAAGAUGAAGACCUUAACUUAGAAGACUAUGACCUUACCUCUGAAGAUUAUGCAAUGAUGGUGUCAAACCCAAAGAGUUUCAUUAAGAAAAGGUUUCCUACCAAUAAGAACCGAAAUUGGCAAGGAAGUUAUAGUUCUAAAAAAGUUAGGGAAGAACCAAAGGCAGAAGAACCAAAGAAAGAGGCGAAAGCUGAAGGAGAUUCGGGUGUGAACUACUACUACUGUGGAGGAAAGAACCACUAUGCCAAAGACUGUGUCCUAAAGAAAAUGGCAGAAAAGGAUGAAGAGAAAGAUGAGGAAGCUGUGUUGAUGAAAAAGCUAGAAGAGAUCAAGAGAAAGAAAGUUGCCACUAACCCUUCAAUGAAUGAUUUAAUUGUGCAGGGUUCAGUAGCGGAUGACGAGUUCGGUGGCGUGGAGGUCUGGUCAACCGACUCUGAGGAUGAUGAAGUCAAGAAGCCAUCUCAUGGAAAGGCUUAUGUUGCGAAAGGUGAAGAAAGCGGUGGAAAGUGUUUGAUGGUGACGGAUGUAUCUCAAAUGAGGGGAUACAACACAGACGGUGGAAAUGAAGACACGAAGGAAUGAGAGGACUUGUGCUUCACAACAAAACCUCUCAGCGUGCAGUUUAAUGAGCUUGAUGAAUUAAUCAAGAAGGUACAAUCUGUUUUUGUUUCAUUCAAAGUCCCACAAAAUUCAUAUGAAAAAGAAUUAAAAAGCGUAGAUUCAAGAAUCUCAUAUCUUGACAGCUGUUUAACUCAAACAUGGGUCACCAAUUCUAACCUAACUGACCAAAUAAGCAGGGUGUCUUCAAAGAGUGAGGAACGGAGGAUGUGGAUAGAGCUGAAGGAGUCAGAGUUGAUCAAAUCCAAGGACGAAAACAUUUAUUUACAAAGAGACAAUUUGAAACUUUUGAAACAAAGAAAUGUUUUUUGUUUAAUUGCUAAGCAUCUUUAUUCUAACAUCACUCAACUUCAUUUGAACUGUGAAAUAGGGCAGAAAAUUCAUCGCAUGAUUUUGCCCUUCCUUGAGUUUAAGGAGGAUGAAAUUGACGCUGAAGCAUAUAAUUGCGAAAGUGUAGUUUCGUCUGAUGAUGUGAAUCCGACUUAUAUGUAUGGUCUAGACAAAAUCGAAUCUUUUAUAAAGUCCAAGGACCAUAAGGACAUGCUGAAAAACCUUUUGGAUGAAAAUGAUAAACUGAAACUAAGGACCGAAACCAUACAAAAAUUUGACUCUUUGAAUGCCAACUUGAGCUCAGAAAAUAAAAUUGAUGUUGAAAACGCAUCUGAGCUUAAUGAGGAUGAUGAUAUGAGUGAAAUUUCUGUAGAGGAUGAAGUUGACUGUUCUGAGUUUGUCAAGAGCGAACCCGAAAACCACAAAAAUCUUAUUUCAGAAAAUUCUGUGGAGUUUGCUCAUUUGUCCCAAAAUAAGUCCCCGAUUCUUGAAGAAAAGGCUGUUGUGUACCAAAAGGUGAGAACAACACCAAAUCAGGUGUAUAAGGUCACAGGAGUAACCGAACAUCAGACAGCCGAACUCACAGCCAUUGUAAAUGAAGAUAAUGCUGAUGGUUGUGAUGAGUUCUUCUGGUCUGCCCCUAUAGAUAAUGCUGACGAAACCGUUGGUCUGUCAGAGCGGACGUCCUGGAAAACCAAAGCCAGAUAUGUACCAGAGCCACUAAACAAGCCUGACAACUUCGACGUGCCAAGUACUAGUGGUACAAAAGAAGUUCCUGAAGAAAAAGGAGUUCCUGCAGAAGAAGUCACUCCUUCAAGCGAAACAUCAUCAGUUCAAAGUGAACCGGCUGACAAGAAGCAAAAGCAAAAAGCCAAUAUCCAUCGACAGCCGAAGCAAGUGAAGGAUCAAAAACAGCAAAGGAAUCAGAGAUACAAGAAAAAUCUCUCUGAACGAAAACAUUUUUGGCGAUCUCAAAACGCCCAUUUCUCUUAUCAUGACAGAAAUUCAAAGUCAGAGAAAAGUGCUGUUAGGCAGCAAGAAAGUAAUAAUAACCGAAAGGAAAGGUUCGGUUCUGAGGAUCAUAACAACCGAAGGGAAAGGUUCGGUUCAGAGAACACCAGCUACCGAAAGCAUAAGUUCGGUUCCAAGAGCAAAAGCGACCAAAGUUCGAGAUUCGGUCCCACAAAUGACCAAAAACAAAAGUGUCACUCAGGACCUCAAGUCAAUAAAACUUCUCAGUCUAACUUCUCUCGUUCUAAUUCUUCUAAUUCCUCUCAACCUCAUUCUAAAUCCAAUUCUGUUCAUACUCAAAAUCCAAAAUCUUCAACAGAUUUGAAAGGAAAAUCGAAGGUUUCCUCAGUCAAGACUGAUCAAAAUCAUUCCAAAGUCCAAAUGCCUAAACCUGAAUCCAAACCGACUGUAACAAAUCUCAACAAAAUUAAGGUUUUCACCAUUAAAAAGAAAGAUGAAACAACUUUAAUAAAAAGAACAUAUCUUGUUGACAUCUCUCUUACUAUUCCUGUUCCUGUGAAAGGCUCACGUGGACCCAAGAAACUUUGGGUUCCUAAAUCUGCUUAAUUUUUGCAGGUUAUCAGUGACGAGCAGUUUGACGAAGAAUGGUAUAUUGACAGUGGCUGCUCACGUCACAUGACAGGAAGGAAGGAAGAGCUGAGGGAAUUUCGGUCUCUUUCAAACGGUGGAAAUGUCAAGUUCGGGAACAACUCAUUCGGCACGAUAAAAGGUUAUGGAAUGAUAACAAAUGGAGAUUUCACGAUUAGAAAGGUUGCAUACGUUGAAGGACUACAGCACAACCUCAUCAGUGUAUCUCAGCUCGUUGGAGGUACCGGUCUCAAGGUCUCAUUCGACGAUGAGGGUUCGGAAAUAAUAGAGAAGAAAACAAAAAGAGUGAUUCUCAAAUCGGAGCGCAAAGGCGAAAUGUUUCCUCUUAAUCUCAAACCUAUCAAAGGAAAUCCAGUUAUCUGCCUUUUGUCCAAAGCACAAUCUGACGAAAGCUGGCUGUGGCACCGAAGGCUCUCUCAUCUCAACUUCAAGGAUAUCAACAAACUUGUCACAGGAGGUCAUGUUAGAGGUCUUCCGUUGCUCAAGUUCGAUCGCGAACAUUUAUGUGCUGCGUGUGAAAUGGGGAAGCAGAGUCAUCAAAGUCACCCAUCCAUCAUAAACACUAAAGUCGUUGAACCACUUGAGUUGAUUCACAUUGACUUGUGUGGUCCAUCGUCUAUCGAAAGCAUUGGUGGUAGCAAGUAUAUUCUUGUUAUUGUUGAUGACUUUUCACGUUUUACAUGGGUGUUCUUUCUGAAGCACAAAUCUGAAGCAACUCUCAAGCUAAAGAUGUUCAUCAAGCAAGUUGAAGUGCAACUGAGGAAAGUCGUUCGCAACAUCAGAAGCGACAAUGGGCUGGAGUUCAAAAAUAAAGAAUUCGAAGACUUCUUGGCAGAAAAAGGAACCAGUCACAACUUCUCAGCUCCCUACACCCCUCAACAAAAUGGGAUUGUCGAAAGACGAAACCGAUCUUUGUGUGAGGCGGCCCGAACCAUGCUAAGUUUUGCUUCUUUACCUUUAUAUUUUUGGGUUGAUGCUGUUGCUGCAUCAUGUUUUACACAGAACAGGUCCUAUCUCAAUAAGCGCUUUACUCUCACUCCUUAUGAGAUUAUCAACAACAGGAAGCCAAACGUCAAAUUCUUCCAUGUAUUCGGCUCACGGUGCUUCAUCUUCAACUCUAAAGAACAUCGUAACAAGUUCGACGUCAAAGCCGAUGAAGGGAUUUUCCUGGGAUAUUCUCUCACUUCGAAAGCCUACCGGGUGUUAAACAAGCGUUCAAGGAAGAUUGAAGAAACUUAUUAUGUGACGUUUGAUGAUAGCUAUGUCAAAAAGUUGAAGGCCACUGAAGAGACAGUUGGAGAAAUUUUCUCUCAAACAGGCCAUGUCACAGCCUCGAUUGCAAAUCUGUUUGAGCAGUUGUAGAGUUAUNAACCAGAGAAGGCUACUCUCUCGGAAGCUAAUGCAGCAGACAACAAAGUAGAUCAUCUGAAGCAACUCGUCGAAGAUGCCGCCAAACAAAUGAAUGAAGGAGGAUCAAUUCCAAACGAACUUCCACAGCACGGUGCUUCAGUUGAUGGGGAGAAUCCAUCUUCUUCAACACAGCCGAGCUCACAUGUUGAGGAGGAGAACUGCUCUCUAGCUGCACCCGAAAGCCCAGCUGUACGCGAAAGCCAAUUUGCACCCGAAAGUCCUAUAGUACCCGAAAGUUCAACUGCACCCGAAGGUACUGCAACACCCGAAAGCUCGACACCACCCGAAACUCCUGUAGCUCCAGAAAGUCAAGAUACACCUGAAAGCUUAUCUGUCGAGGGGGAGAAUGCCGAUAUGUUUUAUGACGAUGAUAGUCAAUCUGAACUAGAAGAGAUGGUAAAUGCUGAAUUGGAUCCAUCCUAUGAUCCAAAUUACCCUCCUCUUGUCAAAUGGACCAGAGAUCAUCCUGUUUCACAGGUUUUCGGUAAUGUCUCUGAAAAGGUCCUGACCCGAUCUCAACUGAAGGCAAAGCAAACUUCCUUAUUUUCAAAAGUAGAGUUCUGUAUGUUUAACUCCUUCGUCUCAAAAGUUGAACCAAAGACAGUCAACACUGCUCUUGAUCACUCCGAUUGGGUUCAAGCUAUGCAAGACGAACUUAAUGAGUUCGAAAGAAAUAAAGUUUGGCGCCUCAUUCCAACUCCUCAAGAUGCCUCGGUUGUUGGUCUCAAAUGGGUCUUUAGAAAUAAAAUGGACAAGGAAGGCAAUGUGAUAAGAAACAAAGCUCGUCUAGUGGUGAAAGGAUACUGCCAGGAGGAAGGAAUCGACUAUGAGGAAACUUUUACUCCUAUAGCUAGGCUGGAAUCCGUUAGAAUAUUUCUUGCCUAUGCUGCACACAAGAACUUUGAGGUCUUCCAAAUGGAUGUAAAAUGCACAUUUCUCAAUGGAGAACUUGAAGAAACGGUGUACGUGGAGCAACCUUCUGGAUUCGUCAAUGAAAAAUACCCCAAUCACUGUUAUAUUCUGGACAAAGUAGUAUAUGGACUGAAACAAGCACCGAGGGCCUGGUAUGAAACGCUAACCAAGUUUUUAAAGAUGUCCAAAUUCAAACAAGGUUCGGUUGACCCAACCUUCUUUCGUAAGAAGGAAGGUAACCACCUUAUGAUUGUUCAAAUCUAUGUCGAUGAUAUCAUCUUUGGCUCAACGAAUCCUAGCUUAACGGCUGAAUUCAGAAAGCUGAUGGAGACUAAAUUUGAAAUGAGCUCAAUGGGUCCGAUUAACUUUUUCCUUGGUUUAAAUAUUAGACAGGGACCCGAAGGCAUCUUUAUUAACCAGGAAGCUUACACCAAGACUCUCCUUGCGAAAUUCGGCAUGAUGGGAGACUCAAAGGUUAAAGUUCCAAUGGCGUUCGGCACCAAGCUCACUCCAUCCUUGGAUAAGCCAGCAGUCGAUAUUACGCUAUAUCGCCAAAUGAUCGGUUCUUUAAUGUACCUUACUGCUAGCAGGCCUGAUAUAAUGUUUUCUGUUUGUUACUGUGCUAGAUUUCAGGCGAAUCCUCGUGAACCUCAUAUGCUUGCAGUGAAGAACAUACUCCGGUAUCUCAAACGAACUACCUCUCUCGGUUUAUGGUAUCCAUCAAACUCAGGUUUCUUCGUUCAAGCCUACUCAGAUGCAGACCUUGGAGGUUGUGGACUAGACAGGAAAAGCACCACUGGAGGCUGCCAAUUCCUUGACGGGAAGUUGGUUAGCUGGCAAUCAAAGAAACAGACUUGUGUAUCUCUGUCUACAGCUGAAGCAGAAUACAUCGCAGCUGCCUCCUGUACAUCUCAAGUGAUUUGGAUCCAAAGCCAGCUCCGGGACUAUGGACUCAAUAUGAAAAAGAUCCCACUAUAUUGCGACUCUGAAAGUGCAAUUAGGAUCUGUCAUAACCCAGUGCAACACUCCAAGACUAAGCACAUAGCACUGAGGUAUCACUUCAUUAAGGAUCAUGUGGAAGAUGGGAACGUCGAAAUUCACUUUGUUCGAACCACUGAUCAACUGGCCGACAUCUUCACCAAAGCUCUUCCUGAAGCAACUUUCAACAAAAUUCUACAAGGGCUAGGUAUGAUGGAAUCAGAGUCAGUACCAAAGAUUACUUCUCAAGACUAAAAGUUAGAAGCGAAAUAGACCGAACGUUCGGGUUCGGAUCUCAUGUAUGCUUAAAUGAACCGAACGCUCAUGUUCGGGUCUUAAUCCUAUAUACCGAAAUGAACCGAACGAUCGGGUUCGGUUGUAUAAUCUGAUUUUCGCUUAUCACUCAAAGGUAGUUUCUUUGGUUGUAGAUCUUUUGUAUUAUUUUUCCAAAUUCAUUUAUCUUAUUGUCAAAGUUCUUUUCUUUUUCAAACUUAUUUUUUUGGCAACCGAAAUAGACCGAACGUUCGGGUUCGGUUCCAAAAUUUUUCUCACCCGAAAUAGACCGAACGCUCGGGUUCGAUUCCAAAGUUUUUCUCAACCGAAAUAGACCGAACGCUCGGGUUCGGUUCCAAUUUUUUUUUCUGUAUUCAUUUUUUUAUUUUUUUUAUUCUUAUUAUCAAAAAUUCCAAAAAUAUUUUUUUUUUUAUAAAUUCAAAAACUCCAAAAAUAUUUUGUUAUUUAUUUUCUUUUUGGCUCUUAUUUUUUUUAUGUCUGCUUAUGGGUAAAUCAUUUCAUUAGCUAUGUGUCCCUAGAAGCAUGCUGCUGUAUGUGUCCAAAGCCUCACCUGAUUCUGAAUAAUAGCCUUACUGACUUGGUAUAAACAAACCUUGUCUUCCCAAUUAGGCUCUCAUAUUUAUUCUAAUCAUGAGCUACCUAACUCUCUUCUCACAUGAGAUAAGAGUUUUCUGCUUAGUCCUUAUUUUUCACAGCAGAGGUACUUUGGUCUCUUUACACCAUCUACNUCAGAAAUUACCACUGAGGUUUACGGUUACACAAUUUUUGUGUUUAUGAUCUUAGUUUCGUGCCACUACGAGCUAAGUGAAACCCAAAAUUCAAUACCCAAUAUGAAUUGAUGGUGAACAAUUAAUUUGCUCUAGUUUUCUCUAAUGAAUUGACGGACGGACCUCCAUGAAAUCUCUAUUUUUCUUUUGAGUGAUUCCUAUGAAAUUGUUAAAACCAAUAACAUUUCUUCCCUUGGGAUCCAGUUCUAAUUUUUGUUGAGAUUUUAUACAUUUCCUAGCCAAAUUAAAUUAUCUCCAACCUACUUGUUCAACAGACUACACCGGUCUCACAAGUACUUCGUUCGAUUUCUGUCUUAUAUCAAGAUUAGGAAUUCUGAAUCGAAGCGAAAGCCACCCUCUUAAGUCUAAUUAAAAGAAGCCUUUCAACACUUCUUAAUAAGUGUCUGAUCGUUAUUCAACGGGAAACCACACAAACACUUUAAGGUCUCUCUUGACUUUGAAGGAAGAGAUUCGUGCCCGGGAUCUUUUGUUUCGUGUCUUUAUUAACAUCACAUAUUUUCCCAAAAGUGUUGUUUUAUUUCUUUUCUUUUACACACUCAGCACGAAUAUCUUUUUGAUUUUCCAAAAUUCUAGUUCCAUUAAUUUCACGGAGUUUUAAUUGGCUUGGUUGUUAUAAAAGAUUGUGGUGAAUUUUAAUCCACGCGGGAGAAUUUUUUAAAGAUGCCGUUACAAUCUAAAGGGAUAAGAUCAUAAAAUGCUGACUCAGGCGGGAGAUCAAUAGAUUUGACUUCAAACGGCCCCAGAAUGUAAAGCGUGCGAAAUGGAACCGUUUCCUCUCCAAACGGCGCCUGAUGGGAAGGCGUGUAAUUAGGGACUGACACUCUCUCUCAUGCGUGAUCAUCGCCAGCGCCAACUGUCACGCGUCAGUCAAUUCCGAAAAACUCUUCGUUUUUCAAUCGAAGAUUUGGGAAAGAUUUUUCUCUCUCCUUUACCCUCAGUAUAAAAGGCAAUGUAACUCACCAUUUACCUCUUUACUGCGCCUAUAUUUCCAGAGAGCAAGAAAUCCUUUCAACUGUUACUGUUCAUCAUCUCUCCCAUUCAUCUCAACAAUGGCGGAUUCUUCCUCAGUUCACGCAACAUCCCACAUCUUGCCCAUUCGCCCACAGCAAAGUUUGAUCAUCGACUUAACACCUCAUUCGUAUGACACAUUCAUGUGUCCCCAUCAUGGAGUGCCUGAAGUUUUCUCCAAUUGCUCCUGCUCUUUCCAGGGCUGAAACUGUUCCAAUGGAGUUCUUGUCACAAAUCUUUGCCACAACACACUACGACAAGGUCGUUGACAGAAUUUUCUUCGAUGUCUUCGAGCACAAGGCGUCGAUUUCAAAGCAGAGGUUUUGCAUGUUGUUAGGGUUUGACGCUGAUUCUUCAAGGGUAAACCCUGAAACGAUUCCCAUGGGUCAUCUGUUCAACAUGUUCUACAACAUGGGAUACACUGAGGUCCUUACUACGGUGACGAAAUUCAAAAAGUCGUGCCUACCUCCACAGUGGAAUGGGAUGUUCACUGUUCUGUUCAAGGGUUUAUCUGAAAGAAGUGCUGGAUCAGAUGGGUCUAGUCGUUUAUUUCUCUCCAUCAUGUAUGGGAUCUACAAUGGCAUCAACAUGGACUACGGGUCGGUCCUAUGGCAACAACUCAUUCAGAGUCUCUCCUCCACUUCCCGAUACUCAGAGAUCUCUUAUGCCAGGUUUUGGACCAUUGUCACGAAAUGGGUGAUGGACAAGUACCACGUCCCCAUUGUCGCUGGUGCUCCAAUGUCUUCGAUGGGUCCCUUCCAUACCACGAAGAUCAUUGUGUCGGACGCUUCCAAGUUUCCCUUCAACGGGUCUAUCCUGGAAACGAUGUAUGGGGAUGUUCCUGCUGAUAGCUGGAUUAUCAGGACGUAUAAGGAGUUCCUUACUCCAGAGAUGCUGAAGUCGAUUCAUGAGGCUGAUAAGCCUGUCCCCAGAGGAAAGAAGGCUAAUAAGGGGAAGCAAGUUGCAAAGGGAGCAAAAGGCCCUUCUCCCAGGAAGAGGAAACCCACCAGACCUGCCCCAUCCCCUCCAAUGAAGAAGCACAAAACUCAGCCUAGGCGAAAGCUGAUCAUCGCUUCGUCCUCGAGUGAAUAUGAGGAAGAGGGUUCAGAUUCUGAUGGAUCUCAACAUGGUAACACUCCACCACGUUCGCCUACCCCAGAGAUUCAUAUUUCUACUUCUCCAAUUCCAUCUCCACAAGCUACAAUCCCUACUUUUAUUCCCCCCAUAACUUCCACUACACAAAUACCAACCACUUCCAUCCCAGUACCACCACCCAUAUUUACCGAAGCAACCACAACCACCACUGCAGAAAUGAGAACCAACGAAUCUGAUACGGGGGUUCAUACUGACGCACCCGAAACCACCCCAGCACCCGAACCCACACCCACACCCGAACGAACAACCCAACCCGAACCUACCCAUACUACCGAACCACCAGCUUCACCACCACCAUCUUCUCCUGCUCACGCAUCAGAGGAAGAAGAACCACUCCUUGGCGGGGAAGAUAUGACUUUCGACUCGGUCUACUAUAGCCCGUUUCAAGUGCAAAGUGAUGACGAUGACGAAGCUCCUGUCACCAAAAGGCAUUUCAAGGAGCAACAUGACAAAAUCGACUCGCUCAUCGCCUCCUCUUCCACUUCUCAAUCAUCCUUCUCUGAAGCUGCAGUUUAGAAAAUUGUUGACGCUUUCUCCAAAGCUCAGCAAGCUUCUCUUGAUUCAGCCACUACCGCCAUAGAUGCCUCCACCAAAGCCUGUCAGGCUGCGACCGAAAAAGUCGAUAAACUAUUCACUGAUGCCUCCUCCUUAUUGAAAUCUUUACAGGAGAGUGCCGAAGCCGCCAAGACUACGCUGGAACCCAUUGUCCACCAGCUGGCAACAUCAGUCGCAUCUGAGUUGAAAUCCUUCGCUUCUCUUCGUCAAACAAUCUCUGACGACAACUCAGCUUUCCGAACAACCAUUGAAGAGCGUUUCUCCAAGCUUCAAGAAGAUUUGGCUGCCGAGAACACUCUCAUGGAUGCUCUCGCGAGGAAGACUACCGCACUGAAGGUCAAGAGCAUUCAACUCUCUCACUCUCAACAGGAGAUUGAAUCUCUUCGAUCUGAAAGAGAGGUAAUAAAGUCGUGUGUUUCGGAUGUCCACUCUGCUAUAUCAAACAUCCUUGAAGCACAUGAUCUCAUCCUUAAUUACACUGUGAGGCAUGACCUUGCAGAGAAGCUCACUCCCGCCCUUGCUCUACUCAGUAAAAUCGAAGGGCUCCUUGAUUUCGUGUCCAUUCCGAAACAAGGGGGAGAGAAGGAAACGAUGUCUCAACCGCCUCCUACCUCAACAACAACUCACACAACCGAACCUCCUCCAGUGGGCCAAGCCUCCGGUUCUGGUGUGAAAGACAAAGGCAAAAAGAUUGCUGAGGAGAGCAAAGAAGAAGAUAAAGAGACAAUCGCUGACCUUUUGAAGCGUCAAGGUCGAGACAAAGAGGCUGCUAUCAGUGCUCGUGUGGCAAGAGAAGCUGAAGAAGCCGAACGUAAACAGAAAGAAGCCCACGACCUUCUUGAGAGCAGGAAAACUCUUUUUCCCUCUUGGACUCUUGAAAGGAUGAUUAAAGAAGCCAUCGACACACCAAGUAUCUUGUGGCUGGAACCUGUGAUCUCUUUAGAUCGUUCCAACACUGUCGACUCACAGUUCGACAUGUCACUGACCCGAAAGGCGUUUAUCUUUCAUGCCUUUUCCAACGUUGCAGAGUUCCCACAUCCUCAUCCACAGGUUGAUCGGGACUUAAUCGAUUUCUAUCUGAAGGCUGCUCAACCCCAAUACCAGACUUGGAGCGCUCAGAAAAUUGUCAACGUUCGGGUCUUGAAGCCGUACAGGGAAGGUAACUUCACCAACGUUCGGUUCAAGGUACUUCGGGGAUCUACCAAAACCGAACAUGCUAUCUCACUUGCAGAUCUUCCCAACCUUAAUCCCCAUGAUUGGAUUAUCUUGCACAACAUCCUCCACACUAACGAAGCUGAAUACGAUCGGAUCAUCGACCAUUUUAAGAGGAUGCUCGUGUGCUACAUCAUGGAAGUUGCUUUGAUGGAUCAGGAGAUUGCGAGCGUUUUCAAGAAGAAACCUACCAUAUCUCCUGUUGGCUCUGCCAGUGAUCUCAACUUGAUGCAGAUGGGGAAGAUUGACCCUAAGAGAAACUCGGUCAUGUUUACCAGGAACGAAGGACAGAAAUGUCUUUUCGCCUUGGCAGACAAACAUCUCUACACCACUGCCUGCUUGGAACACGUUUUGGGGAUCAUCCAUCGAUGCAAGCAGAAUACAGCAGAUGAUGUUAAGUAAUUUGAUGAUAUGAUUCAAUGGUACAUUCAGUUCAGACAGACUAUCCUUGCACUUAUCUCACGUUUGUUUGAUACUACAAAGAAGGUUCCCGCUGCUGGCCCAAGCAAGAAGAAGAAGUAGUCUCGCUCCAAUUUGACACAAAGGGGGAGAUUGUUGGGUCAUAUUUUGUAUUUUGUGUUGCGUCUAUUGGGCUCAUUAGCUAGUCCAAUAUGUAUCUCCGGUAUAGGCCUGUCCAUCCGUGAGUUUUGUAGGGUUAAGUAUAUAUAGGUGCUUGCAUGCAUCUUAGAAGAGGAUCAGAGAUUUAUUAUUCAGCAAGUUUAUCAUUCUUGUAACCCUAGAAUCCUCUACAGCGGAAGUUCUUUGUCGAGCUCUGCUGAGGAUUGAUAAAUCUAAUCAUUCGACACAUCUUGAUCCAUUCUUGUGUUAUUUACUGUUUUUAUAUUCAUCGCAUUACCUGUUACGAAUAUCUAAUCGAUCAUCAAGUUUAAUUUUAGCUUAUCAAACUGUGUGUUUACUUGUAUUUCCCCCCCUUAAAAGUGUAUAAAAAGCAUUGAUAAAACAUUUGAAAGUGUAGUUUAUAGGGGUAUGAACUCACUUGAUAGAUUGAAGAAAGCGAGAUGAUAAUCGAACAGAACCUCGACUUGGAAAAGUAGAUUUUCUCGGGAAUCUCGGGAACACAAAACCUUCCUUCGGAACUUGAAGGUGAAAACCGGGGCUUCGGGAAGGUCUCGGGGGCUUACACGCAGAGUUUCGGUGCGAGAAAGAAGGAAACUGAGCAAUGAAACCCGGAGGCCUUCAAAUCUAUUUAUAGGGCCAUUUUUUGAGUGCCACGUCAUGGCAGAGGGUGUGACAUGUCGUGGUGAGUCAGCCUUAUCCUCUUCUGUUGAUUGGACGCUCUCAGUCACUGACCGGGUCACGGCGAACUGUGCCACGUCAUGGCAGACCUGACAGCCUCGGAUUUUGGGCCUCGAACUUGUAAAAUCCGUAACUUUUGCAUACGAGCUCCGUUUUCGAUGUUCUUUAUAUGAACGCGUAGGUGAGAAUAUAAUCUACAACUCUCGUUUAGACUUCAUCAGCUAAUUUUGACUUUAUUUUUAAUUAUUUAUUUUUAACGGGCUGGGACACGAAAAAUCCGUUAAAAAUCCAUAACUUCUUUAACCGAUGUCCGUUUUCGUUAGACUUUUUACCGUUGCGCUAAUAUUUUUGAGACCUUCAAUUCUCAUUUAAGUUGUUUCGGCCAAAAGUCUCUCGAUCUCUAUUUCGAGUUUUUAGCUGUCUACUGCUAUAUCCGGAUCUUGGAAAAAUCAUAACUUCCUCAUAUGAAGUCAAAUUUGGACGUUCUUUUUACGUAUGUUUACGGUUUAAUGUUAUUACAACUUUCAUUUAGAUACUUAAGGCUAAAAACUAUUGUGUUGAAACUUCGCGUUUUUCGUUUAAUCGGUGUUGUCGGUGUUGCCGAGAAUCUUAGAAUGGUUAUAACUUCUUCGUUAUAACUCAGAUUUUAGUGUUCUUAGUAUUUCUGUAAACCUUGACACAAUAUCCAACAUAAUAGAUAUUCCUAUAAAGACUUUUUCACAUUUAUUUUUAGGAGUUAAUUUCAUUAUAUCAAAAGUGGUUACAAUACUAGACUUUUUAGGUCAUUACAUAGAGUCGAAAUAUCGGAUUGUCACAAUAACUAAAGAAGUUGGGCCCUUCCCUUGAGAAAUUCACCCAAAGUAAUCAAAGAGCUCUCAAAGUCACCACCUCUUCAACUAUACAAUUAUGUUCGGCUAAUUUCUAAUAGAAUAUGUUUUGAAUUGAAUUUCGGGGUGAAAUUCUUUCAACCGGGGGAGACUGUGACAACCGUCAAAAUUCGAGUCAGUUCUAGAUUUGAUGAACUUAGUUGCAUGUGUAGGCAUGACACAUACUAGAUUUAGCAACUAGAAGCUAAGUUAUAACCUAAUAGAAACUUGGAAACAAGUAGAAUCGAAGGAAAGUGUACUUAGAUUUCACAUUGGUAUGUGAAUUCUAAAACUAUUUAACUGUAAUGACUAUCCAUAUUCGGGUCAUUCUUUGACUUGAACACCUUUUCAUGAAUCAUAUACACACAUUAGGUCAAAGUCUCAUAGAAACUUAAGUCAAAGUUGAAAACUAGGACUAGUAUAUUCGAUUCCUUAAUUUCGCUUGAAUCUUGAAACCACUACAUAGAAUGCCAAUAAAUCGAUAAAAAUAAAUUACAAACAUUAUUGAAAUCUUAAAUAAUUCAAUUUAUUUUGAUAUCCAAAUAUUUAAUAAAUCUCAAGACCCUAAAAACCCUAAAACCCCUAAAAUCUCAAAUUUAUAAACUUUAACACCUAAAAAUCCAUAAAAUUUGGUAUGGACUUUAUAAUAUCAAUUUAAAAUAAAUCAAAUUAGUAAAAUAUAACCAAGGUGAAAUAAAAUUGAAGUCAUUAGUAUUUAACCUUAUUUUCUAAGCAAAAAAUCAAGGUUUUGUGAAUGAAAAUUAAGAUAAGGUGCAUAUUUUAUAAAAACUUGAUAUUUUUAUAAAAUAAAAUUAUAAUUUUAUAAAAUUUAAGAGAGGGAGACCCUCUCUCCAUUCGAAAGUCGGAUUUUUAUCUCUCUCCUCUUCCUAAAGACACUCAAUCAAUUCCUCUCCACACUCCACUUCUCCAUACUUCACUUUCUCUCUUACACUCCCUCACUUCAACUUCUCUCUAUUCUUCCUCUCUCUCAAACCAACGAAUUGUUCCAGAAAAUAGGUCCAAGAACACACCUUAAACUCGAAAUCUUCAUCAUAUUGUAGUGUUCUUGAGGGUAAAAUCGAUUUCUACUUCACUUUUCCUUCAAGUUAUGUUAUUUUUCUUACACUUUCUUCUUAUUGUACUCCAUUCUAUUGUAAAAUCAUAAACACUUGCACCUAAUCACGGUUUUCAUGAUGAUGGUGGUAGGAUUUCAUCUAAAAAUAACAUGCAUUUUGUAGAUGGUGAAGUCCCAUGACCUAAACCUAAGUCAAAAUCAAGGAAAUGCACUUUUCUACAUGUUUUGGUGGAAAAACACCACAUGCACCCUAUGUUUUCUAUCAAAAACGAUUUUUGAACAUUUCAAACUCAUGAUUGGUCUUCAAACCAACAUGCAUGUGAUGAUCUUCAAGCUUAGAUGUUUGAUGAUCAAAGUUUGUUGUUAAAAAGCUUUCAAAUAAGUUUAUAAAGGAUUUAUUCCCAAAUAAAUAUUUAAAACAACUUUUCUGAUCAAAUCUGAUUUUUCCCUGUACUCCACCAACAAAAUGAGAUUUUCUACAAAUUUUAAGAAAAUAAUUUAUUUUUCUCGAAUUAUUAUAAUUAUUGCAAUAAAUUAGGGCAAUAAAUCAUAUAAAAUACUUUCUGAGGUCUAUAAAUCCUAGGUAAAUUCAUGGAUGACCCCUAUGCUCAAUAAUGCAUCUCAAUAAAUUUCAUGGAUUUUUGUUACUGUUUAGUGUGGUUUUGAAUUUUCUUUUUCUUUAGCCACAAUAAAUCAUAAAACCACUUUAGAAAAUGUGAAAAGGAUAUAUAAUAAUUUUCACAGCUCAUACCCUAUCUGUAAGACUGAGAAAAAUACUUUCAGAUUUUUUCAUAAUGCAUUCCUAUUUUUACCCUAUAUUUGUAUUUAUAAUGGACUAAUAAUGGGAAAACUAUUUAUACUCAUCCAAAUUCAUGAACAUUUACCAGACAACCUUAUAAUCUAUUAUAACUCUAAAUAAAAAUUUGGAUGAUUUGUCUAUUCAGUAUGCUAUUUUUCUUCUAUUUUAUAAGAUUAAACACACUUAAAUCCACAAAAUUGGAUUACACUAUAUAAAAAUCACCAUUGGAAUUUUUUCCAGAUUAUUUACACUGUAAAUAAAGUUUAAAUUUUUUUUGGUAAUUUACUUUAACUUUUUAAUAAUUAUUUAAGAGGAUAAAACAAAUAAAAAUAGAAAGACUAAUUGAAAAAUAUAUUUUUUAUUUUUUACAGCUUCUACUUGUAUAGUAACAGUGUUACAAAAAGUUUGGGCAACUUUGGAAACAGUUUUGUAUUUAUUUCAAUUUUUAUUAGAAUAAAUGAACAAAAAUUAUAAAAUCGAGUUAAACAGUUUAGAAAUCCAUUUUUAUAUUUUUACCAGAUUAAGAAUGUUUAAUAACAGUAAUACAAAAAGUUAGGAAAAUUGUGGAAACUGUUUUCUAAUUAUUUCAUUUUUUAUUAGAAUAAAUGCACACAAAUCAUAAAAUUGGGUUAAACAGUUUAGAAAUCCAUUUUUAUAUUUUUCCAGCUUAAAUAUGUCUAAUGUCAAUAUCGUAAAAACUUUGGGAAUUUUUAUCACUUGGAUGCUAUUUUUCACGAAUUUAUAUUGUUAUGAAGCUUAAAAUUUUAGAAAAAUAGUUAAUCAUAUAAAAAAUUCAAAGGAAAAUUUAUGGAAGACCUGUACUGUAUUUAGAAUAAAAAUGCAAAGUUUGACAAUUUUUGGAAAUUGUUUGAUAAUAUUUUAGCUUUUUAAGAGCUUAAAACACAUUUAAAUGUGUUGAAAUACCCUCAAUUAAUAUUACAAAAAUCUGGAAAUCAAUAUCCAAAAUUGUCUUAAUCACAUGAGUUAUAAAACUUUACCAUUUCAGAAAAAUGUUUGUAACUUAUCAAUAUUAAAUUUUGACACAAUAUCAGCAUAAUUCUAUUGUAGUAGCAAAUAUACUAGUGUUAGCUUUCUAUUAGAGACUCAUUAGUGUGUAACAUCGUGUAGGAAUCGAUAGUGGUACUAGUGGAUCGUAGUUGAAGGCACCAUUUGCAUCAUCUUAAUGCAUAUUGUGAGUAUUCACGACUCCCCUAUUUUCGGUUUUUAUAUUUUGGGGUGGAAAAGCAUGUCCGAAAAAUUGUUUAUUGUUCGUUGUAUUUAAAUUGAUUUGUAUCAAACUAGAUUGCUAUAUUUUGCUAUAUUUAUCUAUGUAUGUCUAUGCAACACGAAACAUGAGGCAUUAUCGUCUUAAGUCCCUUCCCUUAUACUUUACUCCAACCAUUAACUCUUUGAGCCAAUGGUCAUUAUGGAUAGCGCUAUUAGGAACUGACAACUCCUCACUCGCCCGAUUGUUGGAGUGCAUGAUACCAUAUAAUCUAUGGAACGAUAAGCAUAGAUCUUGAUAGAGCAUCAGACAUAGGCUUGAUUGGGAACUCAUUGUUUGCUCAUACACACACAAACUUGUUAUUUAUUAUGUCAAUAAACUUCUUUAUUUAUGCAAUGAACUUUGUUUAUGCAAACUUAAUACUUAAUUUUGCAAUAUAUUUCUAUUUAUGGAAACUUUUAUCAAAACUUUGAUUUCAAUUCAUGAAACCAAUAUUUUUUUUUUCUGUGAGUACUCACCAACUAUUUUUAUAGUUGACGCUCGUUUUACAUGCUUUUUCAGGAAUCAUCGAGUAAGUGGCACUUAGGGACACUUCACUGUUAGGAGCAUUCGCAUGUGUUGCAUUCCAAUUUUCAUUGUAAUUUCUUUUAAAAGUUGUUCAAACCCAUUGUAAAAUUGUAAUGAUUUUUAAUACUAUGGUUGGUGUUAUCUUUUAACUUUUGCUAUGAAACCCUUUAUACUGCCAUGCUUCGUGUUUCCGCUUUAGCGGGGUGUGACACAUAGGGAAACAACGACACAUAUAGUUUAUGGGGAUUUUUACAUAUAUAUGAGUUUUAUUUAUUUAAAACUGCACUUACAAUCAUAAGUAUGGAAAAUACUUGUACAUUUUGUCUUUAAGUCUUAAGACUACGAUUUAUUUUAUAAGGAAACUAUUGGAUUUUUCAUGAACAAACACUACAUUUACGAAGAGAGGAUUUCAACUCCAUAUACAAAAGCUUAUGCACCCACCAAAUUAAUUGUUGACACUAUUUCAAAACUACUUGUAUUCUCAGGUAAUAAAUAGAAACAGGUAACUACCAGCUUUUGAGGAUGGAACGCUACGACGUCAGACAAACCAUUUUAUCAUUAUAUUGUAAUCGAUUUUGAAACAUGUAACUCAUGAAACCAUGUAACUUUCUCGAUUAUAUUUAUGAUGGUUGUAUUUACUUUGAUCACUAUUAUACUUGUUUUUAUGAUACUAUACAUGAAGUCCUCCACCCCCGGACGUUUCCGCCAUCCUUGGUUUGGGGGUGUGACAUUAAUGAGUUCCCCCAAAGUACCAACACACUAGAAAACUAACAAAGCAUGCAAAUAUGAACCUUCAGCCUGAUUGGACUGCCUCGCAGUGCCUACAACCUAUCUGGAUAACUCUAUAGACCUUCGGCCUUACUAGAACGCCUCGUAGGGCCUAUAGCCUAUCCGGACCGCCUCGGGUAUCUUAGCCUACAAGAAAAAGCAUGACCGCCUCAACCCAAGAAUAAUAUGUCGACAUAUGUAAUAAACAAACAUAAACACUGAACCGGAAAUACAGAUAACCAAACAGAUCUAUUAAUCGAUCAUCUACUAGCAUAACACUAUCUUAUAACCAGGAUACAUAACCUAGUGGGCAGCCAUUGAUGCCUUCGACCCACGAGUACACUAAGGAGAACUCACCUCUCAGUUUGAAAAAAGAAAUCUGACAUAACACAGCUCCGAACGACAACUCAACUGGUCACCUAAACACCAAAUAAUGACCGAUCUCAAGUACCACUAUAAAUUACCUAAAAUAACCUUAGGUAAAACUUAGUCAAGGUCAAAGAUCAAGCUCAACAAACCAACCGAGUCAACCCAGCUGAGUACGAUGGGCGUACUCAUCUGUAUGCGGGGCGUACUCAUUUGUACCUGGGGCGUACUCCGCUUGACCCAAAAAUCGGGACUUUGACCGCGUAAGUGCAACGUACCAUUUGGUAUGCCCAACGUACGCACCUGAUCAACCCCUUUUCUCAUUAAGAGCUUAAUACAUCAAGUCGUUAUGUCCAAAGUUAGAUCUAAGCCCCAAAUGACGUCUUUGACCAUAAAGUUUCCAACUUUAUGGCCUUGCAAGGCCAAUAAGUGCUUAACAUUAAAAACGUUAACCACUUAACCCAUUAAGACCUUGUAACUCAUGCAUGGAAGGGAAGAAGUGAUCAAGACUACAUUUUUAUGCUUCUAAACACCUCAAAAUGUCUAACAGGACAACUUAAAUGGAUUGGAGCAGCUUAUACUAAAAAAAAACCCAACUAAUGGGACCAAAGGACACAAACUUGAUGGCUAAAUUAGAUUUACGCAUAAAAUCAUCAAGUGCAUAACUUUAUACCUCAAAAGGAAGCUUCGAGGUGAGAUGUUCCUGGAUCUAUAAGGUCUUGAUCUUCCAAGUUGAAGCUUCUUUCUUCACCUUGCUUCAAUGGCGCCACAAACACACACUUUUGAGCUCAAAGAAGCACACAUAAGAGAUUAGGGUUACAAUGGACAAAAUGAGGGUUGGAGGCUGGUGAGAGAAUCAGAAAUGAAGAGUUAAAGAUGUUUAUAUAGGGUCCAAAACCUAAAAAUUAGGGUUUGAGAAUCAUACACGUACGCCCUGCGUACACUACAUACGCCUAACGAACGUGGCCUCAUCCAAAGAUCUACAAAAAUGCCACUAUGGGUCAUCUUGCAACAUUUUUCACAUACAAGGGCUAAAUACAAUAAAUCUUCAUACUUAUGGGUUAAAUUUUGAAAUACCUCAUCGUCAGGAUGUUACAAAAUUAAAUAAAAAAUUUAGGGUAAAAAUCACGCAUUACACUUUAUAUCUUAUACCUUAUACACUAUACCAUUAACCCAAACGUGUAUGUGCUAUGUGAAAGGGUUUAUACCCUAUACCCUAUAUCAUUUACCCAAACAAGUUUUUGCUUUGUGAAAGGGGUGUGCUUUCUGAAUAACUGUAGUGUUUUGUGAACAUGAUGGUGUUUUGGGAUAAAUGAGAGAACUGUUCGACAUAAGGUGUUAAGUUUUUGUUAUGGACAAGCACGAACCACAAAUGAUGUUAAUAAAACGUAAAUGUGUUCACAAAGGAGUUUAAUUAAUUACUUAUAUUUUUAUCAUGCUUUGUGUUGUGUGUUUAUAUAUAUNNNNNNNNNNNNNNNNNNNNNNNNNNNNNNNNNNNNNNNNNNNNNNNNNNNNNNNNNNNNNNNNNNNNNNNNNNNNNNNNNNNNNNNNNNGUAUAAUUUAGGGAUAAUGACUUGAAAGGGUAACAAACUUUUGAAUUUGUUCACAUUUAGUCACUAUUUUUUUUUUCAUUAUUAUUUGCCGCUGAACUAUAGAAAAUGUUCACAUUUUACCCUUAUGACCGGUUGUUACCGGUCAUAAGGGUAAAAUGUGAACAGUUUCAAUAGUAUAAGGUAACAACCGGUCGUAAGGGUAAAAUGUGAACAAUUUCAAUAGUUCAAUGACAAAUAGAUAAUGAAAAAAAGUUUAGUGACUAAAUAUGAACAAAUUUGAAAGUUCAUUUCCUUGUCAAAAAAGUUUAAUGACUGAAUAUGAACAAACUUUCCUCUUGUAUUAUGGUUUAGCAAAUUAUGUAUUUUUGUUAAAUUUUUACAACAUUUGUUGAUGAAGAAAUCUAUGAAAUACAAAAAAAAAACCCCCGAAAAAUGUAUAAAAAACGAAAAAAACGAAACCAAUAUUAUAUGUAUAAGUUUUAUGUUAUGAAACUAUGCAAUAUUAUAUGUAUAAAAGUUAUCCUAAUAUUAUAUGUAUGAAUUUUGUGUUAUAUAAUUAUGCAACACAUAACUUGACAUAUAUUAAACCAUAUACGUUGUUUAUAAAAUAAUACAUACAUACAUUGAUACAUUACAUAUGUUGUUAUACUCCAUGUAUUGACAUACAUCAUAUUAGUAUAUUUACUAUUAAAAAGGAUAUCAAAAAUGAAAGUCAAGUUGUUUAGAAUUUAGACAUUUUUAAUUUACGCGGACAAUUUAUUUAUAUUUGAGAUUGUAUUUUCUUAAAAAGUUUGAAUAAUUAUUGAGUUUUGUGAUUAUUUAACUAGAAAUACAGUUCAGUGGCAAAUAAAAGAAUGAAAAAAAGUUUAGUGACUAAAUGUGAACAAAAUCGAAAGUUCGUUACCCUUUCAAGUCAUCAUCCCUAUAAUUUAUUACUUUAGUGUGUGUCUUUGUUAGGCUAAUAGGAGUGGUAACACACCUAGCACAUUGUCACAUCAACUUUUUGGAUGCCACCUCAUUUUUUUUCAUUUAACACGUAAGGUUAGCAUUUGGUAAGGAGUGGUAACACUCAUAACACUUCAUUUUUUUUAUUUUCUUUUUCUAAUUUAAUUUAAUUACAUUAUUUUAAUACACAAACAUUUUAUCUAACAUCACAUUCAACUACAUUUAGAAUCCUAAACUAACUCAAAACCUUAAAUUAGGAAAGUUUUCCCAAAAUACCUCUGGGACCAAAUUUAACUACAUUUAUCUAACAUCACAUGUUCCACGACCAUUUAAGCUGCAACCUUCCAAAAAAUGGCAAUACCCUCAUGACUUGGUAGACUGAUGGCACACUUUCUGCAAGCAAUGACAUUUUGAACUUUGUUAGAUCAUGGAAUUCAAGUCGUUUAAAUCCAUAUUCUAGAUUCCUCAUGAUCAAAAUCCACAAUAUUUAUAUGAAAAAUGAAACACUACAAUUUAGGACACAAUAUUUAUAACCUCUUGAAGUUCAUUUGGCCUCUUACCAUGCGAGGAGCAUCAACAAGUGCCGAUUAAUCAAAUCAAAAUAGAGGUAAUUAAGACAUGAUCAUCUAUAGCAUAUUAAAUGUUUCUUUGAAUCCAUAUAACAGAAGCCACCAGACAUGAUCACGUGGAGCAUCUCUAAUUCCUAAUCUUAGUAUUUUGUUACAACUAAUUUCAAGCAUUUUUAAUAGCUUUGAUUUGAAUUACACGGUGAUAUUCUCACAGAGGCAAAUGAUUGAACACCUGGUGUGCACAGGAAAAUAACAGCAGAUAGUCAUAGCCAUGGAAACAAAUCUAAAGCUUAAUGAUCUGAACAAUUUUUUUUAAACUAGAAAACAGAAGAGUCUAUGAACAAGACUGAAAAAACAUAAUAAAACUUUAAAGAUUGAGAAUGGUUCUCAAGAUCAAAACCAGAAAAAUCUUUAAGAUUAACAAAGGUGAAAGACUUACUCCCAACACAUUAUCCAAAUUUUGGGAAAUUUUAAUUCGUUCUUGCACAUCCAGUCAAAUUCGAUUAAUUCCGGACGCUAGGGCUUUUUCAAAACGAAACUAUAAACUUGAAUUCGGUCAAACCUCACUCCCACCAAUCAAAUUUGUUCCUCACCAUCUCUCUCUUCGCACCAAAGGUUUAGCACGUCUCUGGCGACCCCCCUAGCGAGGGCUAGGGGGCGGUGUUCUAGCGAGGUUGGCGAUGCUGGCGAGGCAAGUGGUGAGUGCCACUCUGCUUAGUCUUAGUAGGUGAUGAUUAACAACACUAGAGAAGUUUAAAGUUUUUAGCCACCGUGUCAUAAUUGGGUAUUUCAAGUAAGUUUUUGAUUAUAAUCUAAUAUUGCUAUUGUAUAUUUUNAUAUAUAUAUAUAUAUUGGAUGUUUUUAUUUUAUUUUGUAUUUUUGAAUGAUUUUGAUUUUUUUAAUAUUUAGUGGGUACCUGUAAAAUAGAACCAUGUUAAACGCCUCCUCAUGCUUCAUUCGGGUACUUGGACAAUUUGGUUCGGUUAAAGAUAUUGCAAAUGAGGUACUAGGGUACCAUGUUCUAUUAAAUCGUGGAGAAUAAACAUAACAUAAUAGUGGUAUGGAUUGAUACUCGUAUGAAAAAGGGUACUCAAUAAUUAUUUGCUGGAAACGUUUAUAUUAAAAAUAUUAUUCGUAAAUAGUAAAAUUGUAUCCAUGAGAAUUUAUUGGUGGUGCUUUGUUUAAAACAAAGAAAAAACUUUCACAAUCUCAUGUUCGUUAUUUGUGAUCGUUGUUUUUUUUUAAGUCCAAAAAUAAUAAAUUUAGACGCACUUGUAUUUUAUAUUAUUAUUUUAAUGAAUAAGUGCAAUUAUAAAGCUCGUGUGGACACGUAGACUAAUUAAUUAAAGUAGAUCACCAAAAAUGUCACAAAAACGUGUUUAAAAAUGUUCGCCAACUGAUUAGGACUACUAUAGACUACCAAUGUAAAAGUGAUUAUUAAUUGUUAAAAAACUGAAGUUUAUAAAUAGUUUAAGGACUAAAUAUGUAACUUAACACUACCCUCAACUUGCCCAGCGCAUGUAUUUCUCUCGAUUCCCGGGCCAAUAAAUUUUGAAUUCAAACCCGAAGUCGAACAUAAACCCUAAAAACACAAUCCUCUCAUAUACCUUCUUAUCCUCCUCCACCACAAAAAUUCUAAACUUCGAUAAAUUCUAAACCCUUCAUCUUCAAUCUCAAAUCCUAAUCUCAAUACCACACAAAGCACUAAACCCUAACCAAUGGCUAAAAAGAAAACAGACCCCCAAGCUGAAAGCAACUCCAGCAAAUCCCAAGACACAGCCCAUGAUAACGAAAUGGAUGAACCUGCUCCAGUGAAGAUUAAGAAACUGAAAUCUCUCAAUGCAUUGUUACUUAAAGAGACCGUUGAGCGGCGUCAACAGGUCGAUUCAUUAACCAAGUCGAACGCUCAUCUGAAAUCCGAGUUGAGUCGGUCUGAAAUGGAUAAAAGCUUGCUGCAGUCGGAGAUUAAUGGGAUGACUGAACAAGCGGUGAAGUUGGAGAUUGAGAAGGGAUUAGUUUCCGUUUUUGUGACUCAGCAGGUGAAUCAGCUGGCGGAGGAAAAAAUCGAGAGUUUGAUGGAGAAAGUCGGGAGCUUGGAGGGUGAGAUGAAAAGGGCUUUGGAGGAAAAGAGUGAAAUGGAGAAAUCGAAGAGUGAGAAAGAAUCCGAAAUUAUGGAUUUGAACAGAAGAGUCGAUGAACUUAUGGCUAAGGUUGAUGAAGAGAGACGUGUUUCAUCUCGUGCUUGUGGUGAGAGUGAUGAAGUUAGGGCCAUGUUAGGUGCUAAAAUUCAAGAGGUGGAUGAGUUGCAGAUGAAGGUAAGGGAAGCAGAAAAAACCGAAGCCCAUAAUUCGGAAGAAAUUUUGGAAUUACAGGCUAAUUUUGACAGAUUAGUCCACGAAAAUAAAGUCAAUAUGCAACGAAUUGAGUCAAUAACGAAGGAAAAGAACAUGAUUCAGGAGAGUUUUGUUGAAGCGAAUGAACAGAUUGAUGUUUUGAAGAAAACUGUUGACACCCUACUGCAACAGAUAAAGGCGAUUGAAGAUGAUAAGGACGCCCAGGAGAGAAAGAAUGAAGAGCUGCAAAAUUUAUUGGCUGAACUCAAGGAUUACAUAGAGGACAUGAAAUUUGAAGAGCAAGAAUUGCAAGAGAAAAUCACCGAUCUGGAGAACAAGUAUGCUGUAAGUUCAGAAAACGAGGUAGCACUGAAAAACGAAAUCGAUGGGUUUGUCGAAGAAAAGAAACAAACAGAUGAAAAAAUCAAAAGUUUGGAGAUUGAAAAAAGUUCGGUUCUGAAAGAUUUGCAGGAUGCCAUGGAAGAGUUAGAGCACCAGAAGCUCAUGCUUGCGCAGAUACUUAAAGAAAAAACCGAAUUAGAAGAUGCCAAGAUUCAAGGAGAGAAUGAAAUCGUCAAGAUGAACGAACAAUUGACAACAUUUAAUGACACGAUUUCAUCACUUGAAAGCUCUGCAAUCAAUCAAAAUGAGAAACUCAAGCAAUUAGAGGAAGAAGUUGGCCACUACAAAGCUUCAUUGGAUCAAACCACAAUCCAAAGAGACGAAGCCCUCAAGACUCUUCAAGAACUAGAAGCCAUUAAAACCGAUUUCCAACACAAGAUUACAGAAAUGGAAAAAGAAAUCGAAGAUUUACAUGAUCUGGAGAACAAAUAUGCCACAAGUUCAGGAAACGAGGUGAUAUUACAAAAGCAAAUCAAUGAUUUGGAUGAAGAAAAGAAAGAAAAAGAUGAUAGAAUCAAUAGUUUGGAGAACGAGAAAAGUUCGGUUCUGAAAGAGUUGCAAGAUGCCAUGAAAGAGUUGGAGCACAAGAAGCAUACAAUCGAGCAGAUACUUCAAGAAAAAACAGAAUUAGAAGAUGCCAAGAUUCAAGGAGAGAGUGAAAUCGUCAAGAUGAAAGAACAAUUGACAGCAUUUCAAGACACGAUUUCAUCACUUGAAACCUCUGCAAUCAAUCAAAAUGAGAAACUCGAGCAAUUAGAGGAAGAAGUUGGCCACUACAAAGCUUCAUUGGAGCAAGCCACAAUCGAAAGAGAUGAAGCCCUCAAGACUCUUGAAGAACAAGAAGCCCUGAAAACCGAUUUGCAACACAAGAUUACAGAAAUGGAAAAAGAUAUCGAAGAUUUACAUGAACUGGAGAACAAAUAUGCCACAAGUUCAGGAAACGAGGUGAUAUUGCAAAAGCAAAUCAAUGAUUUGGAUGAAGAAAAGAAAGAAAAAGAUGAACAAAUCAAAAGCUUGGAGAACGAGAAAAGUUCGGUUCUGAAAGAGUUGCAGGAUGCCACGAAAGAGUUGGAGCACAAGAAGCAUACAAUCGAGCUGAUAGUUCAAGAAAAAGCCGAAUUAGAAGAUGCCAAGAUUCAAGGGGAAACUGAAAUUGUCAAGAUGAAAGAACAAUUGAUCCUACUUCAAGACACAAUUUCAUCACUUGAAAGUUCUACAAUCAAUCAAACCGAGAAACUUAGGCAAUUAGAGGAAGAAGUUAGCCACUUCAAAGCUUCAUUGGAUCAAGCCACAAUUCAAAGAGAUGAAGCCCUCAAGACUCUUGAAGAACAAGAAGCCAUGAAAACCGAUUUGCAACACAAGAUUACAGAAAUGGAAAAAGAAAUCGAAGAUUUACAUGAUGUGGAGAGCAAAUACGCCACAAGUUCAGGAAAUGAGGUAAUAAUGCAAAAGCAGAUUGAUGGGUUGUUUGAAGAGAAGAAAGAAACAUCUGAACGUAUUGAAAGUUUGGAAAAUGAGAAGAGUUCAGUUCAGAAAGAGUUGCAGGAUGCCAU